GUUGCGAUUAUACCUUCAAAAUCACUAAUUGAAUGUUGCUCAAAAUUUGUAUAACCCCAAUUCAAUUUUGGGUAGUUUUGGGUCGCCGAUAUACAGAUGCAAACUAAAACUCGAUUAUUCAUGCUCUGUAUAAAAAGUUUGCUGUUGUUGGAAAGCUUUGAGCGGGGAUGUCAAAAGCGAAAAGUUGUUUGAUUUCACUGCGUUUAUUUAGAUGAUUUCAAUUUUCUAUCAUUUUUACAUUGAUAUCAUCAUGAAUAAUUGGCAAAAGGGAUAUAGUGCGCACAGUUGCUGCAGUUGCUCAUCGGCUUUUAUGGCAUCCGGAAGAGGCGUCUGUUUGAAGCUGGCUAGGAAACGAUUUAUGACAUCCAUAGUUAUUAGAUCCAAAAUAUUUUGAGAGUUCCGUUGAGAAACAGCAUUUAGCAUAUCAUUACGCGGUAGAAAAUUCUCGGAAAAAGAACUUCGAAAUACAACAUUCUUCAGCAUCAACAUCAAAAAGUUCUACUGUGCAAUUUUAUUUCAAGUUGGACUGCUUGGCGCUUUUUCAUUUAUUGACGAAGCAGAUUUCAACAACAUAAAGGGAAAGGGUGGUUACUCUUUGCCCGAAAACUUGCUGGAAGAAAGCUACUUCCUACUUGGUUUUCAAAGUGCACCCAAAGGUGAUUGUUAUUUUCCUUGAAACGAAAAAAACAGGUAAAUUCCACCUUUACUGCGGGACAUCUCCGGAAGUUGCUGUCGUAAUUGGCGUGUGCAGCUUCCGUUAUCUAAAACGCUGGUCAGAGCCACAUAAAGCAAACACAUCGCCUGAGCAGACGUCGACGUUCGGGAUGUCGCUAGAAUGCAUUGGUUCCAAUGCAUUAUUCGAAAAAGCAUGGCUAUAGGUAGUGUACAUUUAUUUAUAUAAGACCAAGAAAGACGGUCUUUAAAAUUAUUGUUUAUUAUGUAAAAUGUCGCCAUGAACAAUAAAUAUCAGAU
This is a long non-coding RNA of Uranotaenia lowii, 972 nucleotides long. RefSeq lists it as uncharacterized. The record is from RefSeq and is a predicted model, not a curated record. NCBI's taxonomy places the organism in Eukaryota, Metazoa, Arthropoda, Insecta, Diptera, Culicidae. The transcript has 5 exons.